Trichosurus vulpecula (common brushtail) is the source of this 102-nucleotide small nuclear RNA. The record is from RefSeq and is a predicted model, not a curated record. NCBI's taxonomy places the organism in Eukaryota, Metazoa, Chordata, Mammalia, Diprotodontia, Phalangeridae.
GUUCUCGCUUCAGGAGCACAUGUACUAAAAUUGGAAAGAUACAGAGUAGAUUAACAUGACCUCUUUGUAAUGAUGCAAACUCAUGAAAUGUUCUAUAUUUCU